GGUCAAUGAUGUACUGGCAUGUAUUAUCUGAAAUUGCUGAUGUGUGAUAACACUUGUAGCUCUAGAAUUACGCUGAGACCUU
Small nucleolar RNA from Nannospalax galili (Upper Galilee mountains blind mole rat), 82 nucleotides. Ensembl annotates it as predicted gene, 24494. The record is from Ensembl. Lineage: Eukaryota; Metazoa; Chordata; Mammalia; Rodentia; Spalacidae.